CCCUUAGAGUUUGAUCCUGGCUCAGAACGAACGCUGGCGGCGUGCUUAACACAUGCAAGUCGAACGUGAAAGUCCUUCGGGAUGAGUAAAGUGGCGCACGGGUGAGUAAUACAUAGGAACGUGCCAAUGGGUGGGGAAUAACCAGGCGAAAGCUUGGCUAAUACCGCAUGAAGUCGCAAGACCAAAGAGGGCCUCUGCUUGCAAGCUCUCGCCGAUUGAUCGGCCUAUGUCCCAUUAGCUAGUUGGUAGGGUAAAGGCCUACCAAGGCAACGAUGGGUAGCUGGUCUGAGAGGAUGAUCAGCCACACUGGAACUGAGACACGGUCCAGACUCCUACGGGAGGCAGCAGUGGGGAAUCUUGCACAAUGGGCGCAAGCCUGAUGCAGCAACGCCGCGUGAGUGAAGAAGGCCCUUGGGUUGUAAAGCUCUUUCGGCUAGGAAGAAGGGCUCGAGAGUUAAUACCUCUAGAGUCUGACGGUACUAGAAGAAGAAGCACCGGCUAACUCCGUGCCAGCAGCCGCGGUAAUACGGAGGGUGCAAGCGUUGUUCGGAUUGACUGGGCGUAAAGCGCACGUAGGCGGGUCCUUAAGUCGGAUGUGAAAGCCCCGGGCUUAACCUGGGAACUGCAUCCGAAACUGAGGAUCUUGAAUGCUUGAGAGGUUGGUGGAAUUCCUGGUGUAGGAGUGAAAUCCGUAGAGA
This 698-nucleotide ribosomal RNA is filed under the name uncultured bacterium. Its description in RNAcentral is "bacterial SSU rRNA". It matches the Rfam family "Bacterial small subunit ribosomal RNA", at positions 1 to 696 of the family's 1533-position model. The record is from RNAcentral.